GGACUUAUUGCGUUAGUGUGUGCAACAGAGUCAGGAGUUCUGUCCAGCCUCAGUACAUCUUCGCCCUUGUAGUUCGGCUCGAUGCUCAUCGUCGUCUGUACGCUGUGAGUGGUCGAGCCGAUCCUGUGGCUUGUCACCGAUAAUCUCCAGAUGUAAUUCCCCCAUCCCUGACAGCACCGUCUGCCCUGUCUCGGCAUCUUGGGUUACUCUCAAGCUUGGAUCCUCCCUCUGAAGCUGCUCCAAAGCGGUGUCAAGGGGAACUUGAUAAGAGAUCGAAGGGGGUUCGAUCGAGCAGAAGAACACAGGGUUUGGUACCCUGGCACCGGUUCCAAAGAGACUCUCGACAUCCUCGUUGGUCGUGUUGUUCUGCUUUUGCAUCGCUCGUUUGGCCUGACUAGCUGCUGUCGCGCUGGUCGUGAGCAAGUCUCCGGACGUGGUGCCCGAGUAAAUCCUGAGGAAAGUAAGUGCCCCUUUGUGUUUGUCGUGGACCACCUUAAAUGCCCUGGCGGCCAGGUUAUCGCCAAAACAGUGAAACUGUUUGGCUGAGGAAUUCGACUCAGGCGAUGGGAGAUACAGUAUCACUCCGUCCAUCAGCGGCUGAACCCCAGCGUUCUUGUAGGAGCUUCCGAGCAGCAGAGGAACUCCUUUGCCAGCUAUCGUGCACCGCCUCAUAGAUUCGACCAAUAUCUGAGCCGGUAUUUUGUCCAGAGAUUCCUGCUCGAUCACCAAUUCGGCCAGUCUGUCGUCCACACCCGACAAUUUAUCGGUCAGCAACUGCAUCGUCAACACGUCGAUUAUGCCCGUCAGACCGGAGCUGUCCUGGAUAGGAAUUUGAGCAGGGAGAGCCGUCGUCUCCAGCUUGGACUCAACGGAACUGAUGCAGUAGUCGAAGUUUGCGUCUAAACGAUCCAUCUUGUUGACGUAGAUUAUUCUCGGCAACGCGUAGCGGUCUGCCUGCCUCCAGACGGUCAGAGUCUGCGCCUCGACCCCCGCCGACCCAUCCAGCACCACGACUGCACCGUCCAUGACAUUGAGAGUCUGCUCCACCUCCAUCGUGAAGUCAAUGUGACCCGGGGUGUCGAUGAGGUUGAAUCUAUGAUUCUUCCAACCGAAUGUCACUGCCGCAGACGUUAUUGUGAUGCCUCGCUGACGCUCCUGGUCCAUGUAAUCAGUCACCGUGUUACCGUGGUGAACCUCACCCAUGUUCCCGAUCGUUCCAGAGUAGAAGAGCAUCCGCUCGGUCGUCGUUGUUUUUCCUGAUUUAUAUUACGGUCAGGUGAGUAAAUUUACUUACAAUUUUUUCUCGUAGGCUAGGCAAUAAAAAUAUCCCGUGAAAAAGUACCGUUAGACGCAGAUAGAUACAUACAGACACUGUGCCAAAGUCGUAGAGAUAGAGACACAGAAUCAGUUUUCUUUCUGUUUUUUUACAGCUUUUGGCACAUUUUCGGUACACUUCUAUCUGAAUCUAACGGAAUUUUUACUACGGAGUUUUGACCAUAAAAACUGUUCGUAAAGAUUUUAUUAGUUCGAAUGCUUCAUUUGGACAUUAUUAACAAAACUACGUUUUCUCCCUCCCCUAACAUGUGCUCUGAACUCUGCGAUGGCGAUGAGGUACAAAAGUAUUACAACAAUAUCUCGUUACGCUCUCCUUAGCGCUAUAGAGGAAAAUAGUUCAGUAAAAAAUGGAAGGUGACAAAAUUCUCUACAAAUAAGAUCCUAUAUAUAAUCUCUGUAGAUCUUUACUUUUGCAGUAAUAGCCGCGCAAAGUUGACAAAUAUUCGACCAGCGCAGGAAAUAUCGAUUGCACUUACUAAAAUGUAAAUCAACAUAUUCUCUAUACAUUUCUAUAAAAAUUCAUAAAAGUUUUAUUAACAAUCGGAAGAGUUUGGUUCAUUGUUGUUUUUAUUAAAAACAUACGACUUUACAUAGAAUGAAUGGUGUCAACAUCGUUGCUUGCCUCGGAAUAUUACCUCCAAAGCCUGCUAAUACAUUUCUUUCAAUGAAAACUGGCAUUCCUGUCGACUUUCUUCUAUGUAUAAUGCAAUGUGCUUUAUUACAGCAGUAAUGUCCUCAUCUUCGGGUUGGCCCUGCUUACACUCUGGAAGGAAGAUGGGCGAAAAAUGUCUCGAUACACAAUGUAGUCAUUUAUGGAAUGUGUGCAAUUAAUCAGCAGUGUGCGAUAAUUAUAGAUGAUGCAAUAGGUCUAUUCAAGGCAGAUAUGAAAAAUUAAUACAUUAGAAGAAA
Molecule: long non-coding RNA, 2244 nt
Organism: Neodiprion virginianus
Lineage: Eukaryota; Metazoa; Arthropoda; Insecta; Hymenoptera; Diprionidae
Exons: 4
Source: RefSeq, a predicted model, not a curated record